Molecule: ribosomal RNA, 279 nt
Filed under: uncultured bacterium
Lineage: Bacteria
Description: partial 16S ribosomal RNA
Rfam family: Bacterial small subunit ribosomal RNA
Source: RNAcentral
UGCCAGCAGCCGCGGUAAUACGGAGGGGGUUAGCGUUGUUCGGAUUUACUGGGCGUAAAGCGCGCGUAGGCGGCCGUUUAAGUCAGAUGUGAAAGCCCCGGGCUUAACCUGGGAACUGCAUUCGAUACUGCAGAACUAGAGUAUGGUAGAGGGAAGUGGAAUUCCGAGUGUAGGGGUGAAAUCCGUAGAUAUUCGGAGGAACACCAGUGGCGAAGGCGGCUUUCUGGACCGAUACUGACGCUGAGACGCGAAAGCGUGGGGAGCAAACAGGAUUAGAUA